GUAAUUUAUGUUUUGAGGAAACCCAUGGAUCUUGUAGCACUUAUCAAUUAAGUGCCCAGAUUCUUGCAGUAUCUGCAAAUAAGGGCCCUCUGCUUUGCACAAAAUUAACUCUGGGUCUGAAAAUAGGGGGUCUAGGCACUGUGGCCUGAUUAAACCCAACCGAGUGCUUGUUUGCAUGAGCAUUAAAAGACAUAGAGUCUGGACUGAUUUGAGAAAUAGAUUGA
This 224-nucleotide long non-coding RNA is filed under the name Nicotiana benthamiana. RNAcentral's name for it is "long non-coding RNA (NBEN_LNC000724)". The record is from RNAcentral. Lineage: Eukaryota; Viridiplantae; Streptophyta; Magnoliopsida; Solanales; Solanaceae.